This 76-nucleotide transfer RNA is filed under the name Candidatus Bathyarchaeota archaeon. Its description in RNAcentral is "tRNA-Thr". It matches the Rfam family "tRNA". From Rfam's summary of the family: Transfer RNA (tRNA) molecules are approximately 80 nucleotides in length. Their secondary structure includes four short double-helical elements and three loops (D, anti-codon, and T loops). RNAcentral also lists the same sequence under 1 other name. The record is from RNAcentral. Lineage: Archaea; Thermoproteati; Candidatus Bathyarchaeota.
GCCCCGGUAGCUCAGAGGUAAGAGCGGCAGCCUCGUAAGUUGUUGGCCGCGGGUUCGAAUCCCGCCCGGGGCUCCA